Molecule: non-coding RNA, 72 nt
Organism: Phrynosoma platyrhinos (Desert horned lizard)
Lineage: Eukaryota; Metazoa; Chordata; Lepidosauria; Squamata; Phrynosomatidae
Source: the annotation of a GenBank genome assembly
GGGGACGUGGCGUAGUGGUUUGAGUGUUGGAUUAUGACUCUGGAGACCAGGGUUCGAUUGUCAGCUUGGUCA